UAAAGGAGCGAUCCGGUGACGGAUGGGCAUGCGUGACAUUAGCUAGUCGGCGGGGUAACGGCCCACCGAGGCGACGAUGUCUAGGGGUUCUGAGAGGAAGGUCCCCCACACUGGUACUGAGACACGGACCAGACUCCUACGGGAGGCAGCAGUGAGGAAUAUUGGUCAAUGGGCUUACGCCUGAACCAGCCAAGUCGCGUGAGGGAAGACUGCCCUAUGGGUUGUAAACCUCUUUUGUCAGGGAGCAACGCCGGCUACGUGUAGCCGGACUGAGAGUACCUGAAGAAAAAGCAUCGGCUAACUCCGUGCCAGCAGCCGCGGUAAUACGGAGGAUGCGAGCGUUAUCCGGAUUUAUUGGGUUUAAAGGGUGCGUAGGCGGAAUGCCAAGUCAGCGGUAAAAUCGCGGGGCUCAACCUCGCUCCGCCGUUGAAACUGGCGUUCUUGAGUGGGCGAGAAGUAUGCGGAAUGCGUGGUGUAGCGGUGAAAUGCAUAGAUAUCACGCAGAACUCCGAUUGCGAAGGCAGCAUACCGGCGCCCAACUGACGCUGAAGCACGAAAGCGUGGGUAUCGAACAGGAUUAGAUACCCUGGUAGUCCACGCAGUAAACGAUGAAUACUACCUGUU
This 624-nucleotide ribosomal RNA is filed under the name uncultured bacterium. RNAcentral describes it as "bacterial SSU rRNA". It matches the Rfam family "Bacterial small subunit ribosomal RNA", at positions 202 to 824 of the family's 1533-position model. The record is from RNAcentral.